RNAcentral lists this long non-coding RNA (982 nucleotides) under Marmota monax (woodchuck). The record is from RNAcentral. Lineage: Eukaryota; Metazoa; Chordata; Mammalia; Rodentia; Sciuridae.
UCUUUUUACAGCUGAGAAAACAAACAGAGGCUCAGCGAGGUGAAGCCGGUUGCCCAAGGUCACACAGCUCAUAGCUCGGCAAGGACGGGAGCCAGGGUUGUCCGAUCUGUGCUCUAACUGCUGGGUGCUCGGUCGGCUCCCGCUCUACCUCUCCCCGACCUCCGUGGCCCUCGGGCGCCUGAAGCCGCGUGGGGGCCGCGAAGGCAGGCGACUUGGCCAGGGGAGAGCCGCAAAGGGUUAACGGGCUCCGCCGCAUUGGGCCGGCCUCCGGCGGAACCAGCCAAUGGGCACGCGCGGCGAUGAGGUAAUGCCGGGACGCGCGGGGUGGGCGGGGCCGGCGCGGAGCCCGCUGCGCCCGCCUGCGCUCCCCGCGCCAACCCCUCACCUUUGACCUUGCUGUCCUCCGCCCCUCCUCCCAGCCUCUGCCUGGCAGAAGCCCCAGCUGAAGCCGAGGACGGCGGGCCUCCCUUAGAGCCUGCGGCGGGAGCCCGGCACGUCCCGGCCCGACCGCACCCUCUGGGCCUCAGUUUCCCUUGGUGAUCGCCACCGGUCCUCCCGCGGGCCCCAGGACAGUUUGCAGCCCCUCCCCGCCCUUGACCUGGCCCUCCCAGGAGAUGCCCAGCGCCAAGGACCAAGGAGUUCCCGGGCUACGGGCAGGGGGCCCAGUCACGCCGUCUACGUGACCCCGCCCCACCUAUCCCCUGGGUGGCCGCCCUUGACACGUCCCUCGUGCCCCUUCGCCGUCACCUGGCCCUCAGCGGCACAGGCAGCAGCCAGGCUUGCCAGGGUUCAGAGUUCAUCCAUCCACGGUAUUAACUGAGCGUCUACUACGUGCCGCUCGGAGCAGCGGGCUUGGAUGUCGCCUGGCUGCCUUCCGGGCUGCCCGCCACCCGCCGCCCCUCGCGGCCGCGCCGGGCACGAAGCGGUUAAGGCCUUUGCAGCGAGCUGGCACUGCGGCGCUGCCCGGGCUUAUUAGUCAGCU